AUGCACCAGCGGGAUCCUUGGCAGCAAUGCCCAGGCACUGAAGCCGGGCAUUCAGGAGAGCUAAAUGGAGAAAAAAAACUUGAGCAAACUGCUUCCUGGAACACUGAGAACCUGAAUGGGAAAUUAAGAAGAACCAGAUUCUUUCUAUUCUUCCACCAGCCAAGGGAGAACUCAUGGCUGGAAAUAUGGAAGAUGAACCAAGGACUCGUCUUUAACACUCCACGCUCCUCUACUAAAGACGGAGAAAAAUGUCAGUUGUUCGGAGCUCCCCACGACCUGCCUGUCUGCACGCUCCCCCUAGGGGUUUGAGCAGUGGAACACUGAACAGGCGAACCGCACAUCUGUCGCAUGUCCUGCGAGGGGGCUAAGGAAACUUUCUGUUUCAGAAGUUCUACUUUGAGGCAAAACCAGGCCUCACAUGUGCAAGAACAUUGCUAGACCUCAGGCCUUGUUCGUAAACCACAGCUACGUACCCCAGCCCUGCACGGGAAGUGGGGAGGAGCUCUUGUUUCUUCCCACAACAAACAGGUUCUUACCCGUUGGCAGCUCCUGUGAAUUACAUGACAUCAACGUGUAUGUAGGUUCUGUCUUUUGGGGAAAGACAUUGUAACGUGGAGCUUUUCUCUUCAGAAUCUACUUAAAACCAGAUAUUUCAGUUAUUAGAGUGAAUUAAAACUAUUAAGUAGCAUAUAAAAUAUAUUUUGACCAGUCAAACCUAAUUGUAGACUGUUAGCAUAGACACCCAUCAGCACACUUACAUGCUCCCAGACACAAGAGUAUCUGUUUGUCUCUGUUGAUAUGGUUGGGAAGUUUUGCUUUGUGACCUGGGGAGUAGAACCAAGUGUUGCUGAGACAGCUGAGAACCAAGAGGAGGAGGUUGGAAGGAUGGUAUGGAUUCUCUUCCUUCCUAGCUCUUUGGAUUUGGUUUUAGACCCCAAUGGUUAGAUGCAUACGAGCCAGAAAGUAGGGAAACUGUCCACAAAAAACCCUUUAUGGUUCUCUGUUCCAAGCAUCAUUGCUUCAGCUCCCAGGUGACAAAGCGUAGCUCAGAGCUGAGAAGAGAGGCCAUUUUCCCUGCUUGUGCAUAAAACCCCCUCUGCUCUGACAACCUGAGGACUGGCUGGACUGGCAGGCCACUGCAAGAUGCAUGGCACUAGCUUCCUUUUCUUAGGUGAGAGUCACCUGGGGUAUGGACAGUGGGUCCAGCACUGGAGAAAGCAUGGCAACUGCCCUAACACACUCCUCCCAGAAUCUACACACACUUCCAAUGGACCGGCUUCCCCUCACCCCCACCAGGCAGCACAGGGCAGCACUGUGUUUUGAGCUUAAUCAGCACUGCUUUCAUGAUGGGCUGUGACAGCACUGAGGAUUUCCAUGUGGCCCUGCAGAAAGGAGACCUGGAGGAACCAGAGCAGGAGAGAAAGAACCAGGUGGAUUCAUGCGGUUAUGGCAGCUGGUUUAUAAGCAUGAAUGACACACCCCAUUGGAGACGCCUAGAAAUAGCUGGAGGACACUGAGGUCAAGCUAAGAGCAUGUUGUUACCUUUGUAAUUUGGACAUCAAAAGGAAAUGUAACCUGAUUUUAUAUGGUCUGGAGAGACCUAGACAUGCUGUAAUUAAACUAUAAUUGCAAUUAAUGGGCUACUUUAUAAGUAAUCUAAUCUCAUGAAAAAAAUUGGUGGCUUACAAUAAAAUAAGGAGAUUGGUGAAAAUAAGGAGAUUAAUAAAAAAAGGGGAUGACAGCCAUAGCCAAAACAUCUAUAAAUUUGUUAAACCGAGACUCAAGCAAAAAACGUUUGAAUUGAAUUACGCAAAAAAGAGGAAAAAUACAAGCUCUGGAAGAAUGAAACCUGUGCCAUGAGUACCUUUUAACCACAAGUUUCAGCAUUUCUUUUCAAGGAGAACUUAUGGCUGGAAAUAUGGAUGGAAGAUGAACCGAGGACUCAUCCUGAACAUUGUAUGCUACUAUGCUAAAGACUGAGAGAAGUGUCAGUUGCUCCUAUCAAAGGAAGAGGGGGUUGAUAGACAUCAGCACCUUUGGCAUCAUUGUUGAUUCCAGAGUGUCCUUAGCUUUUGAGCCACCUUCAAACGGCCUUGUCAACCACUGCAAGAUGCAUGCCACUGGCUUCCUCUUCUCAGGCGAGAGCCACCCGGGGUGCAGACAGUGAGUCCAGCAUUGUGGGAGGCAUGGCGACGGCCCUGACAGACUCCUCCCAGAAUUUACACACACUUCCAAUGGACUGGCGACCCCCACACCUCCACCAGUUUCCAAUGAGAAACACCUUCUAAAGAACUCUCUCUUGUUAGAACAGCUUCCCUGAGCAUAGGAACCAGGGAAGCAAUCAGCAUCAGCUCAGCUUGACUGUCCCCCACUGCCUGUGCGUGUCUCUCCAGUAACUAAGCUGUUUUUACUCAGUUUUGGGUGUUAGCUGGUGAGUCAUGGCCUCAAGGAAGCCUAUACUGCCUAGAUUAGGCCUGGUGUUGCCUUCUUUACUUCUUCAUAAUGAAUAAAGGUUGACACAAAUUGUGUAUUUAAUUACUGCAGAUAACACAGGAGGGAUCAUGCCCAUAUUGUUCACUGAUAGCCCUUCAAGGCCUAGCAUAGUGCCUGGAACACAGUAAAUAGUAACAUUUAUGAAUGUCAGCAGCUCUGCAGAGCUUUCCCUACAUGGCUUACAGCUUAGGCUAAAGCACUUAAUAUAUUCCCCACUUCUGCUGUUAAUAUUUUUAACUAGUUAUUUUUCAUAUUAUAUAAACAACAUGUGAAUACAAGUUCAUUGUAAAAAACUCAAACUCAUAUAAAAGCUACAGUCUUUUACAUGUAAAUGAUGCCACAAUAAAGCUACUUUUUAAAAAGCCAUGGUCCCCCUUCACAACUCCACACCAGCCCAGUCCCAUUCCUUUCCCAGACAUACGCUCCGCUCUUAACAGUUUCAUGUGUAAACUUCUAGAUCUUCUCCUGUGUGUUUUCAUACAUGUAUAUAUCUUCAUACAUUAUGUGCUUUCAUACAUGUGUAUUCAGAUGAAUACUCAAGUAUUUGUGGUUUUGUGCAUAUACAUUCAGAGUGUUUUAGUCAGAGUGCAAUCAGAAGGCAGAGCUGUGCUAGAUAUGACAUUGCAAACAGAGGGAAUUUAACACAGAUGGUGGGGGAGUUCAGUGGCCAGAGAACAGCAGGAAGCCACUAUCAACCCUUGGGCUGGAGGGACAGAGGGAGGAAGCGGAGUGACCAGAGCCCAGGAGCUUGGGUCAACUGGAAGAAUCUGGGACCAUGGCAACACUUCCAGCUAAAUCGGGAGCAGUGGAGGAAGAGGCUAUCUGGCAGUAGGUGGAGACAUGGACAAGACCUAUCAGACAUCAUGUAAAGCAGGGAGAAAGGGAGACAUAACCUGGCUUCUUCUCACCCUCAUUCUCCAGUGUCUGUCACUGGCUCUCUUUAGCCGGUCUGGAAAUGAGCCUGGAAAAAGUAGUUCCCAAGGAUACAAAGCCCAGAUAGAGGAUGGUCUGGAAUGGAUUUGAGAGCAAGCAGACAAAAGGCCGGCAUAUGAAGUUUAAAAUAAAACACAUAAAUAGCAUCACGGUAUAUGUAAUGUUCUAAAUUUAUCACUUACCAUUUUUACAGAGAUAAAAUCUGGUUAAAAUGGCCAUUGAGAGCAGGCUUGAUCCACAGAACGAAAGGUACAGCAGGAGAGCACACAGGCAGAUAGCAAGGAAAGACAUACUACAGAAGGGCAGCCCCAGGGGCUGGGAUGGGUGCAGGUCUUAUUCCUUGGGAACCAGGCCUGAUCUGCUCUGCAGAGUGGGAGGAGGGCAGGAGUAUGAGCUGACCAUUGCCCAGCAGUAGAAUCAAAGACUCAGAGAGUUUAGAGUCUGAAGGAAACUUAUGUCUCCCAUUUCAACUCAUGACUUCUAUAGAAUAAGGAAAUGAAAUGCCGAAAGUGAUGGGC
Molecule: long non-coding RNA, 3944 nt
Filed under: Macaca fascicularis (crab-eating macaque)
Lineage: Eukaryota; Metazoa; Chordata; Mammalia; Primates; Cercopithecidae
Description: lncRNA (ENSMFAG00000063469.1)
Source: RNAcentral